GCCAAAAUACUUUCUCUCUAAACUCUAUAAGCAGUACUCCCUUUUUUUUGAAAGAAAGAAUACUCUCUCAAAAAUUUGAACACCUACAAACUCUACAAGAUUUAAAACAAUGGCCGGGUGGAUCAACGUUCAUACGCAAUUCAACGGGGGAGAAGCUCAGAGACACAACGAUGGUGGAACACGUUUGGUAUGCGGAUGAAGUUGCUUAGAUCAACUUAAGAUAUCAUCAAAAGUUUGAUUCCGCCAUAAAAUCGUCAUUAGUUAGGGUAAGGUGCAUUCCAACUACAACAAUUGUCUUCCUUUAAAUGGGGUAAUUCAAACUUGUCAUUGAAGAGUAGAUUUCUAACCACAAAGCUAUUAGACAAAAAAAUAAAAACAGAAAGAGGUCAAUUACUCUUACUCCAACUAAUAUUUUCAGUUGCAUAUGUUCAAUAUUUAAGUCUUUGGUUCAACCACCACGCCACCAGCACCCCCCCCCCCCCCCCAACCAAGUCAUUUUUUAGAUGUUUUUCUUAUGAUUUCUAAUUUAAAAUACACACAUUUUUUGUGAUUGUAACCAUCUUGAUAAAAUUGUGAAGUUAAGAACAUCAAGAACCAUAUAAAAAGCAUCUUAAAAAAUUCACCUAAGCCUUAGUCACGCAGAAAAAAUGAUCGGUUGCUAUAAAAGAAAAAUGCAUGGAGUAGUAAUUUUUCUGAGAAAUAAGAGAUAAGUAGUAUUAAUCUAUUAUUCAGAAAUAUUUAUUUACGCUAGAAUUAAAAAAAAUUAACAGAAUUUAU
RNAcentral lists this long non-coding RNA (777 nucleotides) under Medicago truncatula (barrel medic). RNAcentral describes it as "lncRNA gene40004". Lineage: Eukaryota; Viridiplantae; Streptophyta; Magnoliopsida; Fabales; Fabaceae. The record is from RNAcentral.